UACAGAGGUCUCAAGCGUUGUUCGGAUUCAUUGGGCGUAAAGGGUGCGUAGGCGGCGCGGUAAGUCGGGUGUGAAAUCUCGGGGCUUAACUCCGAAACUGCAUUCGAUACUGCCGUGCUUGAGGACUGGAGAGGAGACUGGAAUUUACGGUGUAGCGGUGAAAUGCGUAGAUAUCGUAAGGAAGACCAGUGGCGAAGGCGGGUCUCUGGACAGUUCCUGACGCUGAGGCACGAAGGUCAGGGGAGCAAACGCG
This 253-nucleotide ribosomal RNA is filed under the name uncultured bacterium. RNAcentral's name for it is "partial 16S ribosomal RNA". It matches the Rfam family "Bacterial small subunit ribosomal RNA", at positions 524 to 776 of the family's 1533-position model. The record is from RNAcentral.